This is a long non-coding RNA of Hyla sarda, 1022 nucleotides long. RefSeq lists it as uncharacterized. The transcript has 4 exons. The record is from RefSeq and is a predicted model, not a curated record. NCBI's taxonomy places the organism in Eukaryota, Metazoa, Chordata, Amphibia, Anura, Hylidae.
UUAAGUGUUUGGCUUGGGAAUAGAUAACCAUAAGCUCAGUGGGGUAGAACACUAAAGUUCUCUAUAAGUAUAUAAUAUGUAAUUGUUGACACAUUUAAUUAAUCAAGUAUUCCAUUACAUUCACUAGGGUACCCCAAGUCUCCUAAGUCUAACUGGCAGAUGAAUAGCUUAUUGGAAGAGUUUCUAAAAAUGGUUUUACAGAACAAAGACAUUGAAAAAAAAAGAUAUACCAGAAAAAAGAGAAAGACGUCAGAAAGAUAUUUGAAAAUAGGCUCAUAGCGGGGCCCAGCGGAGAAGCAGCAGUGGUGAUGUCAGCAUGCUCCAUCUAUGCACCAAGCCUGCUGCCGAAAUAAGGAAAAUUACAGACGAAACAGACCACAGUUCAGGGGUAGAGGCUUGAGAUGAAUUUUAAUUUACUAAUUUGGUAAACAAUACCGUUAGUUACAAACAUAAGAUGUUCAGAGAUCUAAACAUGGAUACAUGGAAACAGGACUUAUUCUGAUUGCAACUGUCAUGACUUUUGACCCACUCAUACUAAGCCCAGUAUGUGAAAAUUGGUAAAACGUUUACUGCAGCCAUAUCAUUGGAGUCACCAACAAUUGGAGUCCCCAACAGUUGGAUAGACAUCACCCAGAUUUUCAAUGCCCCGGGGCCAAAAGCCUCCCGACUCGAGUAGACUUGCAUUAUGCUUGAGAGCUGGCUGGCACAGGCACGUGGAGCAGGGAGGUAUCACGAGCAAGCUAUAACAGAGGGAGCCAGCCCCGGAUUAUGGAAAUCACCACAUGGAGAAUAGAUGGAGAGCACAUGUGCUAAGAAAAAUGGAUCUAGUACUUAUAUAAAGGAAAAAAAGAAGGGUAUUAACGUUCCCAAGCUAAAUCCUGUAAAUGUGUGCAUAUGUGUUAAUGAGAAUGGUUAGGGCAAUGAGUGCUAAAGAAAUGAGUUUAAAAUUAUUUAUAUUUAUUAUUUCAUAAAAAAUGCACAUCAGUGCUUUAUGUGUGGUGUCUGCAGGGCCCAUGAGAUCA